AACACGUGGGCAACCUGCCCUGCAGAUGGGGAUAACUCCGGGAAACCGGGGCUAAUACCGAAUAAUCAGUUCCUUCGCAUGAAGGAACUCUGAAAGACGGUUUCGGCUGUCACUGCAGGAUGGGCCCGCGGCGCAUUAGCUAGUUGGUGGGGUAAUGGCCUACCAAGGCGACGAUGCGUAGCCGACCUGAGAGGGUGAUCGGCCACACUGGGACUGAGACACGGCCCAGACUCCUACGGGAGGCAGCAGUAGGGAAUCUUCCACAAUGGACGAAAGUCUGAUGGAGCAACGCCGCGUGAGCGAAGAAGGUUUUCGGAUCGUAAAGCUCUGUUGUAAGGGAAGAACAAGUACGGGAGUAACUGUCCGUACCUUGACGGUACCUUAUUAGAAAGCCACGGCUAACUACGUGCCAGCAGCCGCGGUAAUACGUAGGUGGCAAGCGUUGUCCGGAAUUAUUGGGCGUAAAGCGCGCGCAGGCGGUCCUUUAAGUCUGUUGUGAAAGCCCACGGCUCAACCGUGGAGGGUCAUUGGAAACUGGGGGACUUGAGUACAGAAGAGGAAAGCGGAAUUCCACGUGUAGCGGUGAAAUGCGUAGAGAUGUGGAGG
RNAcentral lists this ribosomal RNA (606 nucleotides) under uncultured bacterium. RNAcentral describes it as "bacterial SSU rRNA". It matches the Rfam family "Bacterial small subunit ribosomal RNA", at positions 112 to 704 of the family's 1533-position model. The record is from RNAcentral.